Molecule: ribosomal RNA, 468 nt
Filed under: uncultured bacterium
Lineage: Bacteria
Description: partial 16S ribosomal RNA
Rfam family: Bacterial small subunit ribosomal RNA
Source: RNAcentral
GACGAACGCUGGCGGCGUGCUUAACACAUGCAAGUCGAACGGAAAGGCCCUGCUCUUGUGGGGUGCUCGAGUGGCGAACGGGUGAGUAACACGUGAGUAACCUGCCCUUGACUUUGGGAUAACUUCAGGAAACUGGGGCUAAUACCCGAUAGGAGCUCCUGCUGCAUGGUGGGGGUUGGAAAGUUUCGGCGGUUGGGGAUGGACUCGCGGCUUAUCCGCUUGUUGGUGGGGUAGUGGCUUACCAAGGCUUUGACGGGUAGCCGGCCUGAGAGGGUGACCGGCGACAUGGGGACUGAGAUACGGCGCAGACUCCUACGGGAGGCAGCAGUGGGGAAUAUUGCACAAUGGGCGGAAGCCUGAUGCAGCAACGCCGCGUGCGGGAUGACGGCCUUCGGGGUGUAAACCGCUUUCGCCUGUGACGAAGCGUGAGUGACGGUAAUGGGUAAAGAAGCACCGGCUAACUACGUG